Molecule: ribosomal RNA, 253 nt
Filed under: uncultured bacterium
Lineage: Bacteria
Description: partial 16S ribosomal RNA
Rfam family: Bacterial small subunit ribosomal RNA
Source: RNAcentral
GACGAACCGUGCGAACGUUGUUCGGAAUCACUGGGCUUAAAGGGCGCGUAGGCGGGCUGCCAAGCCUGUGGUGAAAUCCUCCGGCUCAACCGGAGAACGGCCGUGGAUACUGGCGGUCUCGAGGGAGGUAGGGGCAUGCGGAACUGUGCGUGGAGCGGUGAAAUGCGUUGAUAUGCACAGGAACUCCGGUGGCGAAGGCGGCAUGCUGGACCUCUUCUGACGCUGAGGCGCGAAAGCUAGGGGAGCGAACGGG